GGCGCACGGGUGAGUAACACGUAGGUAAUCUCCCCUCGAGUGGUGGAUAACCUUCCGAAAGGAGGGCUAAUACAGCAUAAGACCACGGCUUCGAAAGAAGCUGCGAUUAAAGCGGAGGAUCGCAAGACUUCGCGCUUGAGGAUGAGCCUGCGGCCAUCAGGUAGUUGGCGGGGUAAUGGCCCACCAAGCCUUAGACGGGUAGCUGGUCUGAGAGGAUGAUCAGCCACACUGGAACUGAGACACGGUCCAGACUCCUACGGGAGGCAGCAGUGGGGAAUCUUGCGCAAUGGACGAAAGUCUGACGCAGCGACGCCGCGCGGGUGAUGAAGGCCUUCGGGUUGUAAAGCCCUGUGGGGAGGGACGAAUAAGUUGCGGUUAAUACCCGCAGCGAUGACGGUACCUCCUUAGCAAGCACCGGCUAACUCUGUGCCAGCCGCCGCGG
Molecule: ribosomal RNA, 442 nt
Filed under: uncultured bacterium
Lineage: Bacteria
Description: bacterial SSU rRNA
Rfam family: Bacterial small subunit ribosomal RNA
Source: RNAcentral